GGCAGGCUUAACACAUGCAUGUCGAGCGGUAGCAGAUCUAGCUUGCUAGAUGCUGACGAGCGGCGGACGGGUGAGUAACGCGUAGGAACCUGCCCAGUAGUGGGGGAUAGCCCGGGGAAACUCGGAUUAAUACCGCAUACGCUCUACGGAGGAAAGAGGGGGCUUCGGCUCUCGCUAUUGGAUGGGCCUGCGUGAGAUUAGCUAGUUGGUGAGGUAAUGGCUCACCAAGGCGACGAUCUCUAGCUGGUCUGAGAGGAUGAUCAGCCACACUGGGACUGAGACACGGCCCAGACUCCUACGGGAGGCAGCAGUGGGGAAUAUUGCACAAUGGGCGCAAGCCUGAUGCAGUCAUGCCGCGUGUGUGAAGAAGGCUUUCGGGUUGUAAAGCACUUUCAGUGGGGAGGAAGGCCUCGUAGUUAAUAGCUGCGAGGAUUGACGUUACCCACAGAAGAAGCACCGGCUAACUCCGUG
This 471-nucleotide ribosomal RNA is filed under the name uncultured bacterium. RNAcentral describes it as "bacterial SSU rRNA". It matches the Rfam family "Bacterial small subunit ribosomal RNA", at positions 41 to 507 of the family's 1533-position model. The record is from RNAcentral.